GACUGAAGUGGUAGCUCAGUCCAUAGAGCAUGAGAUUUUUAAUCCCAGGGUCAUGGGUUUGAGACCCACUUUGGGCA
Non-coding RNA from Podarcis lilfordi (Lilford's wall lizard), 77 nucleotides. Lineage: Eukaryota; Metazoa; Chordata; Lepidosauria; Squamata; Lacertidae. The record is from the annotation of a GenBank genome assembly.